UGCCAGCCAUGGAUGUCUUUCAUUC
Molecule: non-coding RNA, 25 nt
Filed under: Rattus norvegicus (Norway rat)
Lineage: Eukaryota; Metazoa; Chordata; Mammalia; Rodentia; Muridae
Source: RNAcentral